GAACGCUAGCUACAGGCUUAACACAUGCAAGUCGAGGGGCAGCGGGAUUGAAGCUUGCUUCAAUUGCCGGCGACCGGCGCACGGGUGAGUAACGCGUAUCCAACCUUCCGUACACUCAGGGAUAGCCUUUCGAAAGAAAGAUUAAUACCUGAUGGUAUGAUGAGAUUGCAUGAUAGCAUCAUUAAAGAUUUAUCGGUGUACGAUGGGGAUGCGUUCCAUUAGGUAGUAGGCGGGGUAACGGCCCACCUAGCCGACGAUGGAUAGGGGGUUCUGAGAGGAAGGUCCCCCACAUUGGAACUGAGACACGGUCCAAACUCCUACGGGAGGCAGCAGUGAGGAAUAUUGGUCAAUGGGCGAGAGCCUGAACCAGCCAAGUAGCGUGAAGGAUGAAGGUCCUACGGAUUGUAAACUUCUUUUAUACGGGAAUAAAGUAUCCUACGUGUAGGAUUUUGUAUGUACCGUAUGAAUAAGCAUCGGCUAACUCCGUG
Molecule: ribosomal RNA, 488 nt
Filed under: uncultured bacterium
Lineage: Bacteria
Description: bacterial SSU rRNA
Rfam family: Bacterial small subunit ribosomal RNA
Source: RNAcentral